Molecule: ribosomal RNA, 446 nt
Filed under: uncultured Caulobacteraceae bacterium
Lineage: Bacteria; Pseudomonadati; Pseudomonadota; Alphaproteobacteria; Caulobacterales; Caulobacteraceae
Description: bacterial SSU rRNA
Rfam family: Bacterial small subunit ribosomal RNA
Source: RNAcentral
GUGUCCUACGGGAGGCAGCAGUGGGGAAUCUUGCGCAAUGGGCGAAAGCCUGACGCAGCCAUGCCGCGUGAAUGAUGAAGGUCUUAGGAUUGUAAAAUUCUUUCACCGGGGACGAUAAUGACGGUACCCGGAGAAGAAGCCCCGGCUAACUUCGUGCCAGCAGCCGCGGUAAUACGAAGGGGGCUAGCGUUGCUCGGAAUUACUGGGCGUAAAGGGAGCGUAGGCGGACAUUUAAGUCAGGGGUGAAAUCCCGGGGAUCAACCUCGGAAUUGCCUUUGAUACUGGGUGUCUUGAGUAUGAGAGAGGUGUGUGGAACUCCGAGUGUAGAGGUGAAAUUCGUAGAUAUUCGGAAGAACACCAGUGGCGAAGGCGACACACUGGCUCAUUACUGACGCUGAGGCUCGAAAGCGUGGGGAGCAAACAGGAUUAGAUACCCUGGUAGUCUC